This 320-nucleotide long non-coding RNA is filed under the name Mus musculus (house mouse). RNAcentral's name for it is "long non-coding RNA chr11:32726500-32726820". Lineage: Eukaryota; Metazoa; Chordata; Mammalia; Rodentia; Muridae. The record is from RNAcentral.
GCGCCUGUGUGUGACACCACCUUACGGCAGGUACGGCAGGUAUUAGAGAGGGCGCCUGUGUGUGACACCACCUUACGGCAGGUACGGCAGGUAUUAGAGAGGGCGCCUGUGUGUGACACCACCUUACGGCAGGUACGGCAGGUAUUAGAGAGGGCGCCUGUGUGUGACACCACCUUACGGCAGGUACGGCAGGUAUUAGAGAGGGCACCUGUGUGUGACACCACCUUACGGCAGGUACGGCAGGUAUUAGAGAGGGCACCUGUGUGUGACACCACCUUACGGCAGGUACGGCAGGUAUUAGAGAGGGCACCUGUGUGUGA